GAGACCCGUGCCCACUGUUACCAGCAUAUCCUCCGGGAUGAUGGGUACUCUGUGGGGACCGCCGGUGUUAAAUCGGAGGAAGGUGCGGGCCACGGUAGGUCAGUAUGCCCCGAAUUUCCCGGGCUACACGCGGGCUACAAUGGAUGGGACAAUGGGUCCCUACCCCGAAAGGGGAUGGCAAUCUCACAAACCCAUCCGUAGUUCGGAUCGAGGGCUGUAACUCGCCCUCGUGAAGCUGGAAUCCGUAGUAAUCGCGUUUCAAUAUAGCGCGGUGAAUAC
This 279-nucleotide ribosomal RNA is filed under the name uncultured bacterium. RNAcentral describes it as "partial 16S rRNA". It matches the Rfam family "Archaeal small subunit ribosomal RNA", at positions 1047 to 1325 of the family's 1478-position model. RNAcentral also lists the same sequence under 1 other name. The record is from RNAcentral.